Molecule: unclassified non-coding RNA, 148 nt
Organism: Macaca fascicularis (crab-eating macaque)
Lineage: Eukaryota; Metazoa; Chordata; Mammalia; Primates; Cercopithecidae
Rfam family: Metazoan signal recognition particle RNA
About the family: The signal recognition particle (SRP) is a universally conserved ribonucleoprotein.
Source: Ensembl
GCCAGGCGUGGUGGCGCACGCCUGUAAUCUCAGCUACUCGGGAGACUGAGGCAGGAGAAUCACUUGAACCCAGGAAGCGGAGGUUGCAGUGAGCUGAGAUCGUGCCACUGCGCUCUAGCCUGGGUGAUAGAGUGAGACUCUGCCUCAA